AAAAAGGCGGCUUUCGCCGCCAAACACAGAGUCUACUUGAGUACUU
Molecule: non-coding RNA, 46 nt
Organism: Aeromonas diversa
Lineage: Bacteria; Pseudomonadati; Pseudomonadota; Gammaproteobacteria; Aeromonadales; Aeromonadaceae
Source: Rfam